This 753-nucleotide ribosomal RNA is filed under the name Arthrobacter sp. xt20. RNAcentral's name for it is "bacterial SSU rRNA". It matches the Rfam family "Bacterial small subunit ribosomal RNA", at positions 56 to 824 of the family's 1533-position model. The record is from RNAcentral. Lineage: Bacteria; Bacillati; Actinomycetota; Actinomycetes; Micrococcales; Micrococcaceae.
UGCAGUCGACGAUGAUCCCCAGCUUGCUGGGGGGAUUAGUGGCGAACGGGUGAGUAACACGUGAGUAACCUGCCCUUGACUCUGGGAUAAGCCUGGGAAACUGGGUCUAAUACUGGAUACGACUCUUCACCGCAUGGUGGGGGGUGGAAAGCUUUUGUGGUUUUGGAUGGACUCGCGGCCUAUCAGCUUGUUGGUGGGGUAAUGGCCUACCAAGGCGACGACGGGUAGCCGGCCUGAGAGGGUGGACGGCCACACUGGGACUGAGACACGGCCCAGACUCCUACGGGAGGCAGCAGUGGGGAAUAUUGCACAAUGGGCGCAAGCCUGAUGCAGCGACGCCGCGUGAGGGAUGAAGGCCUUCGGGUUGUAAACCUCUUUCAGUAGGGAAGAAGCGAAAGUGACGGUACCUGCAGAAGAAGCGCCGGCUAACUACGUGCCAGCAGCCGCGGUAAUACGUAGGGCGCAAGCGUUAUCCGGAAUUAUUGGGCGUAAAGAGCUCGUAGGCGGUUUGUCGCGUCUGCCGUGAAAGUCCGGGGCUUAACUCCGGAUCUGCGGUGGGUACGGGCAGACUUGAGUGAUGUAGGGGAGACUGGAAUUCCUGGUGUAGCGGUGAAAUGCGCAGAUAUCAGGAGGAACACCGAUGGCGAAGGCAGGUCUCUGGGCAUUAACUGACGCUGAGGAGCGAAAGCAUGGGGAGCGAACAGGAUUAGAUACCCUGGUAGUCCAUGCCGUAAACGUUGGGCACUAGGUGUG